RNAcentral lists this ribosomal RNA (1436 nucleotides) under uncultured organism. Its description in RNAcentral is "16S ribosomal RNA". It matches the Rfam family "Bacterial small subunit ribosomal RNA". The record is from RNAcentral.
GGCUCAGGAUGAACGCUGGCGGCGUGCUUAACACAUGCAAGUCGAGCGAUGAAGUUUCCUUCGGGAAACGGAUUAGCGGCGGACGGGUGAGUAACACGUGGGUAACCUGCCUCAUAGAGUGGAAUAGCCUUCCGAAAGGAAGAUUAAUACCGCAUAAUGUUGAAAGAUGGCAUCAUCAUUCAACCAAAGGAGCAAUCCGCUAUGAGAUGGACCCGCGGCGCAUUAGCUAGUUGGUGGGGUAACGGCCUACCAAGGCGACGAUGCGUAGCCGACCUGAGAGGGUGAUCGGCCACAUUGGGACUGAGACACGGCCCAGACUCCUACGGGAGGCAGCAGUGGGGAAUAUUGCACAAUGGGGGAAACCCUGAUGCAGCAACGCCGCGUGAGUGAUGAAGGUUUUCGGAUCGUAAAGCUCUGUCUUUGGGGAAGAUAAUGACGGUACCCAAGGAGGAAGCCACGGCUAACUACGUGCCAGCAGCCGCGGUAAUACGUAGGUGGCGAGCGUUAUCCGGAUUUACUGGGCGUAAAGGGAGCGUAGGCGGAUGAUUAAGUGGGAUGUGAAAUACCCGGGCUCAACUUGGGUGCUGCAUUCCAAACUGGUUAUCUAGAGUGCAGGAGAGGAGAGUGGAAUUCCUAGUGUAGCGGUGAAAUGCGUAGAGAUUAGGAAGAACACCAGUGGCGAAGGCGACUCUCUGGACUGUAACUGACGCUGAGGCUCGAAAGCGUGGGGAGCAAACAGGAUUAGAUACCCUGGUAGUCCACGCCGGUAAACGAUGAAUACUAGGUGUGGGGGUUUCAACACCUCCGUGCCGCCGCUAACGCAUUAAGUAUUCCGCCUGGGGAGUACGGUCGCAAGAUUAAAACUCAAAGGAAUUGACGGGGACCCGCACAAGUAGCGGAGCAUGUGGUUUAAUUCGAAGCAACGCGAAGAACCUUACCUACACUUGACAUCCCUUGCAUUACUCUUAAUCGAGGAAAUCCCUUCGGGGACAAGGUGACAGGUGGUGCAUGGUUGUCGUCAGCUCGUGUCGUGAGAUGUUGGGUUAAGUCCCGCAACGAGCGCAACCCUUGUCGUUAGUUACUACCAUUAAGUUGAGGACUCUAGCGAGACUGCCUGGGUUAACCAGGAGGAAGGUGGGGAUGACGUCAAAUCAUCAUGCCCCUUAUGUGUAGGGCUACACACGUGCUACAAUGGCUGGUACAGAGAGAUGCAAUACCGCGAGGUGGAGCCAAACUUAAAAACCAGUCUCAGUUCGGAUUGUAGGCUGAAACUCGCCUACAUGAAGCUGGAGUUACUAGUAAUCGCGAAUCAGAAUGUCGCGGUGAAUACGUUCCCGGGUCUUGUACACACCGCCCGUCACACCAUGAGAGUUGGCAAUACCCGAAGUCCGUGAGCUAACCGCAAGGAGGCAGCGGCCGAAGGUAGGGUCAGCGAU